Molecule: non-coding RNA, 863 nt
Organism: Pelobates cultripes (western spadefoot toad)
Lineage: Eukaryota; Metazoa; Chordata; Amphibia; Anura; Pelobatidae
Source: the annotation of a GenBank genome assembly
GAGCUCUCAGAAUGUGCCAAAGAAUUAGAAGUACAAAUUCUUAAAAUUGGAAAAGUUUUUUCAGUUAGAUGGGUUGCUUCAAGCCAGAGAGCUAUACGAGCAGUUUGGGAGUCAUAUCCUGCCCCACAUAGUCAUUUCUUGAAAGCCAUCUUAAGUUCAGCUAAUAACAGUAAGCAGAAAUCUGUAUCUAGUGGCCUUAACAAGGUCUUGACAUCAGAAGAUUAUUUGUUAAACCUUGCAGGGGUUGCAGAUGCUGUUCAGGAAAUGGGACUGUUAUCUGAAACUCUGCAAAGAGAUGACAUCACACUUCCACGAGUUUAUCAGCUGAUUAAUCGUUCCGUUUGUGCCAUUGAAAAAAUGAAAGACAUGCCUGGCAAACAUCUGAAAGAAGUCAGGGAAUCGCUGGAGAAAGGGAAUUUUAAAGGUGUGACCAUCAAUCCAGAGAGUAAAAAAGGCCAGGUAAGGAUAAAUCUCCCUCAAUUUUAUCAAAGAUUGGUGGAUAAUUUACGCUCCAGACUCUUUGCUUUAACUGCGAGCAACAGACCUGCAGAUUCAUCACAGUCAGGUGAAUUUGAAACUCUUGUCUCUGAAAUUGACAUCCUGAAUUCACAACGCUGGCCAAUCAAUGUGGACAGUCAGGGCUGCCAUCAGAAAUUUUAGGGCCCUUUACACAGCCCCGAUCUUUUCUAAUGGGCUGUGUGUUUAGUUUUUAUACACUAUUUGUUUUAGAAAUUCCCUGCGAGGGAAAGAUCACCCAUUGUGGUGAUUAUUCUGUUAGUAUGACUAACAAGUUAACUCCCUCACAAACAACACCAUUCACUUUAUCACAGUUGUUAGAACUGUACUAUAUUCAUUUGUUGUUU